AACGAACGCUGGCGGCAUGCCUAAUACAUGCAAGUCGAACAAGAUCUUCGGAUCUAGUGGCGCACGGGUGCGUAACGCGUGGGAAUCUGCCCUUGGGUUCGGAAUAACUUCUGGAAACGGAAGCUAAUACCGGAUGAUGACGUAAGUCCAAAGAUUUAUCGCCCAAGGAUGAGCCCGCGUAGGAUUAGGUAGUUGGUGAGGUAAAGGCUCACCAAGCCGACGAUCCUUAGCUGGUCUGAGAGGAUGAUCAGCCACACUGGGACUGAGACACGGCCCAGACUCCUACGGGAGGCAGCAGUAGGGAAUAUUGGACAAUGGGCGAAAGCCUGAUCCAGCAAUGCCGCGUGAGUGAUGAAGGCCUUAGGGUUGUAAAGCUCUUUUACCCGGGAUGAUAAUGACAGUACCGGGAGAAUAAGCUCCGGCUAACUCCGUG
Molecule: ribosomal RNA, 433 nt
Filed under: uncultured bacterium
Lineage: Bacteria
Description: partial 16S ribosomal RNA
Rfam family: Bacterial small subunit ribosomal RNA
Source: RNAcentral